GAGUCCGUGCGUUUGUGGAUGACGGGCGGAUGCCCUGACUCUGUGUUGCCUCGAUCGAGGGGAUGCCCUGGCCAACUCCUUUCCUCCCCUCUCCUCCGCUCCUCUUCCUGCGAUUCUCCACUGACGACAAGCAGUCCAGACUGCUCCCUAAUGCAGGUUGGCUAGGAGUUCCUCUCCCGGAGCUUUUGUCGCUUCGUUGGAGCAGUCCACACAGCAGGCACACGCGGCCAUUGUCGACUCCCCGUGCAGUACACUUUUGUGUUGUGAGGCGGGCAUCGUCGGGAUUCGUCAGUAGGCUCCAAAUCUUGUGUUCAUUUCAUUUUCUGUAUUGGUGCAGUACAUUGCAACCUCCAGCCCCGGCUAGCUACUGUCUCGCGCAGGCGUGCCCAGCCGCCGCAGCUAGUGCGGUCAGCCCGUCGCCUUUUUUAGAAGAGAGUUAAUCCAUCCGACCAUCCCCCUGCCCCCAUUGUUGCUCUGAUUUAGACAAAUUUACAUGGAGGUUGACUAGAUAUUUUGUACGAAUUCUGAAUUUUUCACCUGUGGCGCGUGUAGAGCAAACUACAUUCAGUAGAGGUAUGCUCCUUGGCUCUUCACAUCCAUCGCGCUCCUUGGCAGGUUGGCUUUACUGGAGGCGUGUAGCAGGCUAACAGCCACGGUUUCAAUUUGUGAGAGACCCGAUUUCAAACAAUGAAGCAUAUAUAUAUACUUGCUGCUAGACUUAUUAUUGCUUCGGCUGGCAGCGACGAGAAGUGCUGAUUUUCUAACAUGAGCAAGUUUAGAAAAAGACAUAAUUAAGAAUUGUAGUAUGCCUAUAAAACCAUAUUCGACCAAAUUGAUAUAUUUAUAAUUCUAUGUGGUAUUGGUAAACUAAUUAGAAUGUACACAUGUCAUAUUUGUUCCAAUUUUUUCUAGUGGACCAACCUGGUUUAAAAUCCUAGAUCCGACACUGCCUCCAGUGCAGCUCCGUCGUGUGCAUGUUGACGCCUCCUGCAGCUCACUGACGCCGGCGUGCAUGAUAGCCCCGUCUCUCUUUCACAUCUGCUCCUCUCGUGUUGUUCUUCACUGAUGCAGUACAUGUCGCUCCCCGAUGCAGGUCAUCUCGAUCGUCGAUGCAGUCCAUUGGCGCACAAAAUUGUUUGUGUGGGCAAAAGCAAUUUUGUAAUGUGCAGGGCUAUUUACGAUGUGUGAUAUUCUUACUGAAGCACUGAUCCAGAUAGGAACAUGAAGCGGCGCUGCAGCUCGGGGCUACUGCUGCUGCUCGGAGGCCCGACAAUUUUCGCUGCUGCCCGAUGGCUCCACCGACCGGCAGCGUCGACACCCCAGUGGCUCCCGCUAUUGCUCGGCGGUCCGACGUCUCUCGGUGCUACUCGAUGGCUCCCUCUGCACCCGUGCGUCUAAUGCUGCUUCUUGGUGUACGGCGGCUUUCUCUGCUGCUCGGUGGCAUGGCAGCCACCCGACGACUAGGUUAUAUCCGUCGAUGGGCAAAAUUGUUUGUGCGGGCAAAAGCAGUCCGCCACCGGUGUACAAUGCAGUUCCCUUUGAUUUCUUUUUUCAUUUCGAUUUGAGUGGGUUUUAUGUAAAUUUGCAGGGCUAUUUUUUGUAAGUUUUAUAAAAUGAAGUUCGAUAACAAA
Triticum urartu is the source of this 1631-nucleotide non-coding RNA. Lineage: Eukaryota; Viridiplantae; Streptophyta; Magnoliopsida; Poales; Poaceae. The record is from RefSeq and is a predicted model, not a curated record.